This 87-nucleotide transfer RNA is filed under the name Pseudokineococcus lusitanus. RNAcentral describes it as "Kineococcus sp. CECT 7306 tRNA". It matches the Rfam family "tRNA". Rfam says of the family: Transfer RNA (tRNA) molecules are approximately 80 nucleotides in length. Their secondary structure includes four short double-helical elements and three loops (D, anti-codon, and T loops). Further hydrogen bonds mediate the characteristic L-shaped molecular structure. tRNAs have two regions of fundamental functional importance: the anti-codon, which is responsible for specific mRNA codon recognition, and the 3' end, to which the tRNAs corresponding amino acid is attached (by aminoacyl-tRNA synthetases). tRNAs cope with the degeneracy of the genetic code in two manners: having more than one tRNA (with a specific anti-codon) for a particular amino acid; and 'wobble' base-pairing, i.e. permitting non-standard base-pairing at the 3rd anti-codon position. RNAcentral also lists the same sequence under 1 other name. Lineage: Bacteria; Bacillati; Actinomycetota; Actinomycetes; Kineosporiales; Kineosporiaceae. The record is from Rfam by way of RNAcentral.
GGAGGGCUGGCCGAGCGGCCGAAGGCGGCAGUCUUGAAAACUGCUGGGCGGGCGACCGUCCCGUGGGUUCGAAUCCCACGCCCUCCG